RNAcentral lists this ribosomal RNA (253 nucleotides) under uncultured bacterium. RNAcentral describes it as "partial 16S ribosomal RNA". It matches the Rfam family "Bacterial small subunit ribosomal RNA", at positions 524 to 776 of the family's 1533-position model. The record is from RNAcentral.
AACGUAGGAGACAAACGUUAUCCGGAGUUACUGGGCGUAAAGGGCGUGUAGGUGGUUUCGUAAGUCUGGCGUGAAAUAUCUCGGCUUAACCGAGGCAGGUCGUCGGAUACUGCGGGACUAGAGGACGGUAGAGGCGUGUGGAAUUCCGGGUGUAGUGGUGAAAUGCGUAGAUAUCGAGAGGAACACCAGUGGCGAAGGCGAGUCCCUGGACAGAUCCUGACGCUGAGGCACGAAAGCUAGGGGAGCAAACAGG